RNAcentral lists this non-coding RNA (30 nucleotides) under Mus musculus (house mouse). The record is from RNAcentral. Lineage: Eukaryota; Metazoa; Chordata; Mammalia; Rodentia; Muridae.
CCAAGUUGUUGACUUAGGAUGUAUCUUUGU